Homo sapiens (human) is the source of this 857-nucleotide long non-coding RNA. Ensembl annotates it as long intergenic non-protein coding RNA 1091. Lineage: Eukaryota; Metazoa; Chordata; Mammalia; Primates; Hominidae. The record is from Ensembl.
AGAAUUCUGGAAUGUAAGAUAAUUUGGACAAAGACAGAAGCCAAGUGGAACUCUCAGAGCACUGUAUGUCCUUGUAAAGUGGUUGGACUGAGUCCCAUGAAGCCAGAUCACUUCUGACUGCAAGGAGCUUGGAAAAGCAAGUAUCUGGAUCUUUUACCAGCUAAAUUUGGAGCGAUGAGGCUUCCUCUUUGAAGAUCACAGGUGAGAAGAUUAGGUGCUUUCUCAGAAGCCCAGCAACCUGAUGGGAGUGUGGAGUGAGCAAGACCCAAAUCGGAGCUUCAUCCCUGCAUGGUUCAUUUUGCUUAUUUGGCAAACUUGCCCUGCAGAAUCUACUCAAGCUUCCUCAGUUUCUCAAAUCAUUCUUGGGCAACAAAUGAACAAGAAAGAGGACGUCUUAUUAUCUGGUGUCUGGCUUGCUGAUUUAAUAACCUAGGAGACAGUGUUUGAAGAACACAAACUCUAAAGUCCUUCACUUAAAAAAAAAAAAAAACUUUCCCAAAUUGCUUACCAUUUGGAAAAAUUGCCUUACCUUCUUCAGUCAUCUCUGAUGUUGUCAUCCUCAGAGUAAGAAGUACGCAUUCAUAAGGAACCAUAACGUCCUUCAGGAAAUCCAGUACACCCUACAAUUUUACCUAAAACUUUGAUGUUGUUUUUUCUGAGCAUUUUACCUUCUAGGGAAAUGGAUCUCAUGCUGUUUAUCAGUUUCUGAAAGUUGUUAUUAAUCUCCCCUCAUCCCAAAAUUGAAGAACUUUGCUUAAAUCUUAGAAUCAGAACUUUGGCUCCAGUAAUAAAGACUUUUCAAUAUCUUUAUCUGCCAUUGAGUCUUACCUAACGAAAUAAAGCCUCCAAAGUGGGAA